AGCAUCGUUCUGUUCAAAAUCAAUGUUGCAGCGCCACCAUCUUUCCUUCUGACUUUCACUUCACCCUUCUUGGGUAAACAUUUUCACCCAAUCUCUUAUUACUUUGUUAUUCUCAACUUUUCAAAUUGCUAUUCAUCCACUUAUUCCAGAUAGCUUUCAAACUUGCAGAUCCUGAAAAAAAAAAAAAAAAAAAAAAAUACCCGAACCUGCUUUCAUUCCCACUAACCUUUCAGGAUUCCAUCCAAUCCUUUCUGGGUUUUUUUUUUUCAAAACCCAUGUGUUCCUAUUAAUGUUUUUUGAUUUUGAGCCAUUUUUCCUUAGAUCUUGGUCUUGAAUUCCCGUUAAGCAAUUGAACUCUGACUAUAAAUUGGGCCUUGGUUUCUGAAUGUUAGGGGAAAAAGUAAGUUAGUUGGCGGUUGUUUUCUUGUCUAUCAAAAAACAUUUGGCCGUUGUUUGUGAGAAUGGGGCAUAGUUCGAAGAAGAAGAAGCGAGGAGGAGGGAGUGGGAGGAGGAGCAAGGGUAGGACCCCAUUGAAAGAUAAUACAUCUCAUCUUGGUGGCGAUGAUAAUGAGCUUCUCUCCGAGGAGAUUACUGCCUUGUGUGCAAUAUUUCAAGAAGACUGCAAAAUUAUUCCUGGAUCACCUCCUCAAAUAAUUAUUAAGCUCAGGUCUUACUCAAAGGAUAUGGGUUAUGAGGAUCUAAAUGUUUCUGCUCUUCUUUUAGUUAGAUGCUUACCUGGGUAUCCUUACAAGUGUCCAAAGUUGCAGAUAACUCCAGAGAAUGGUUUGUCAAAGAGCGACGCUGAUAAGCUUCUAGCUCUCCUCUCUGAUCAGGCAAAUUCUAAUGCUCGAGAAGGACGGGUGAUGAUUUUCAAUUUAGUGGAGGCCGCUCAAGAAUUCCUAUCUGAAAUUGUUCCAGUUGGUCAAUCACAUGUAUCUAAGGGUUCAUGCUCAACCAUGGAUGGCGGUGGCGAAUUCUUUCAGAAGGAAAUCACAGCUUCAAGUAACAAGAGGGGACCUUUUGUUUAUGGUCUUAUGGACCUCUUCAGUGGCUCUGGAGAGUCAUGGAAUUGGGGAUUUGAAAUGGAUGAAAAAAGUGGGGUGAAUUCUUCAGUGCAACCCCAUACAUUAGAAGGCUCAAAACUUGGAUAUGACUAUCAGCAAAAGGGACUUGAUAAGAAUCUAAAGCCAUUGAAAAUACAGGAUACAAAGCAAGGUUUAUUGCCUUUCCCUACUGCCAAGUUGGAUACCCUUGAUGAAGAGACUGAAGAUAGCAAUAAGAGCAUAUCAUCGUCUGAUUCAAGUGGGUCCCCAGAGGAGGAAUUGGCUGGUGAUGCUACUGAUGAUGAGAGAGAUUUUAUGGAAAUGGAGAAGACAACAGAAGAUGAUGGUGAUGGUGAAUUCGGCAGUGAGGCUUCAGGGUCGCUUCCUUCUGCUUCUGUGGGUAAUGACCAAGAAUCUCAAAUGGUUGAACGUGAUCUAAUAAUGGUUCAUCUACUUCGCCUCGCUUGUGCUUCUAGAGGGCCAUUGGAUGAAGCUUUGCCGCAAAUAGCCACAGAGUUGUACAGUCAAGGGAUCAUUUCAGAAUGGGCCCGAGAUUUAGCUUCAAAACCAUCUUCAAUUUUUAACAAAACAUUUGAUCAUGUUUUCCAAAAACAGAUGGUUUCAUCGAGAAUAUCUCAAUUUUGGAAACCCACUACUGAUUUUGAAGAUCCAAGCACAUCCCUCCCAAGCUCUCGCUUUCUCAGUGACUUUGAGGAGCUAAAACCCCUUGGUCAUGGAGGUUUCGGUCAUGUUGUGUUGUGCAAAAAUAAAUUAGAUGGAAGACAGUAUGCAGUGAAGAAAAUUCGCCUCAAGGACAAAAUCCUGCCUGUUAAUGACCGAAUAUUGAGGGAAGUAGCCACUCUUUCCCGUUUGCAGCAUCAACAUGUUGUCCGGUACUAUCAGGCAUGGUUUGAAACAGGAGUUGUUAGUUCUUUUGGUGACACUACUGGGGGUUCAAUGACUGCAGCAAGCUCCAGUUUCAGCUACCUAGGCACAAGCUCAGUUGAUGCCCUUGGGCAUGAGAACAAGCUUGAGUCGACGUAUCUAUAUAUUCAAAUGGAAUAUUGCCCCAGGACGCUCCGUCAGGUUUUUGAAUCAUAUAGUCAUUUUGACAAAGAGUUAGCAUGGCAUUUGUUUCGUCAAAUUGUGGAAGGUUUGGCCCACAUUCAUGGACAAGGAAUCAUCCAUCGUGACUUAACCCCAAAUAACAUAUUCUUUGAUGCCCGGAAUGAUAUCAAAAUUGGAGAUUUUGGCCUUGCCAAGUUCUUGAAGUUGGAGCAGUUGGAUCAGGAUCCAGGUUAUCCUUCAGAUACUGCUGGGGUUUCACUUGAUGGAACUGGUCAAGUUGGUACCUAUUUUUACACUGCACCUGAAAUUGAGCAAGGAUGGCCCAAGAUUGAUGAAAAGGCAGAUAUGUACAGCUUAGGAGUUGUGUUCUUUGAGCUUUGGCACCCAUUUGGGACAGCAAUGGAGAGGCACAUUGUUCUCACUGAUUUGAAACAGAAAGGAGAACUUCCACUAUCUUGGAUUGCUGAGUUUCCUGAACAGGAAUCCUUAUUGCGGCGUUUAAUGUCCCCAAGUCCAUCUGAUCGUCCCUCUGCCACAGAACUUUUACAGGAUGCUUUUCCUCCACGGAUGGAAUCUGAGUUGUUAGAUAAUAUUCUACGAACAAUGCAAACUUCAGAGGACAGAAGUAUGUACGAUAAAGUUGUCAAUGCUAUCUUUGAUGAAGAUAUGUUAAGCAUAAAAGACCUCCAUCGUCAUGCUGGUAGACUGAGGUUGGCUGGAGAUGAGACCUCUAUUCAGUACACAGAUUUAGAUACUGAGGUUCGUGAUUAUGUUGUUGAAGUCACAAGGGAAGUGUUCAGGCGGCAUUGUGCUAAGCAUCUGGAAAUAGUACCCAUGCGUUUGUUGGAUGAUUUUCCACAGUUCAAUAGGAACACUGUCAAACUUUUGACCCAUGGAGGAGAUAAGAUUGAACUUUGUCAUGAGCUGCGUCUUCCCUUUGUUAGUUGGGUGAUCUCCCACCAGAAAUCUUCAUUCAAACGAUAUGAAAUAUCGUGUGUCUAUAGAAGAGCAAUUGGGCAUUCACCACCAAAUCGCUAUCUUCAGGGAGAUUUUGACAUUAUUGGAGGUGCCUCAGCAUUGACGGAGGCAGAGGUUAUCAAGGUGACCAUGGACAUUAUAGCUCAGUUUUUCAAUGCAGAUUCAUGUGACAUUCAUCUAAAUCAUGGGGACCUUCUGGAUGCAAUUUGGUCUUGGAUAGGAGUGAAGGCAGAGCAUAGACAGAAAGUAGCCGAGCUUCUUUUGAUGAUGGGUUCUCUGCGUCCUCAAUCUUCUGAACGGAAAUCAAAAUGGGUUGUCAUAAGGCGUCAGCUUUUGCAGGAGCUCAAUCUGGCAGAGGCUGUCGUAAAUAGGCUGCAAACUGUUAGUUUAAGGUUCUGCGGAGCUGCUGAUCAGGCACUUCCGAGAUUGAGGGGAGCGUUGCCAGCUGAUAAACCUACACGCAAGGCACUUGAUGAAUUGUCAGACCUCUGUAGCUACUUGAGAAUUUGGAGGAUUGAGAAACAUGUUUAUAUAGAUGCAUUAAUGCCCCCAACUGAGAGUUACCAUAGAGAUUUGUUCUUUCAGGUAUAUUUAAUAAAGGAGAACAAUCCUGGAUCACUUAUUGAAGGUGCAUUGCUUGCUGCUGGUGGCCGCUAUAACUAUCUGCUUCACCAACUGUGGGGUCAUGAAUAUAAUUGAAUCUAGCACCAUAAUUCUUGUUUGUUCACGAGGAGGAGGUGGUCUGUUGGUAGAGCGCAUGGAACUUGUUGCUGAAUUGUGGGAGGAGAACAUCAAGGUUUGAACAUUAACUUUAAGAAAAUAUAUCAAAGGAAAACUAGGGUUUUCUUUUAAGCAAAGUAAGUACGAUGCUUCCUUAUUUUUGCACAAGGGCGAUGCUGGAGUAGUAUUUUUAUUGUUAUAUGUAGAUGAUAUUAUCAUCUCUGGUUCAGAUGGACUCAGUCAGGUUGGUUUAGAUAAAGAUAAAGAUGUAGUUUGUUGAGAUUCAAAUUGAAUUCUCAAUCUUAUCUUUGUAAUUAUUUCUGGAACUAUUUUUUAUAAUGAGAAGGAAGCACCUCAAAGAGGUCUUCGGCCCAAUCUGACAAAGUAGUCUCCUUUAAGUUGCUUAACUGUUGCUUUCGGCUUUCUGGCCCUGUGUCAAUCAGGCUGAGUUUGUACCUGCACCUGAUCCGAGUCUUACAGAGCAGUAUGAAUAUGCAAACGAGCAUGAUAUAAAAUGUCUUGUCAUCCUAACAGACACAGAUGUAUCUCAAACGGGUUCUGUCAAGGUUCGUCAUCUUGAACUCAAAAAGGAGAAGAAGGUUGAAAGAGAAAUCCUAGUCAGAUUUCUAUUGGCCGCGAU
This is an RNA transcript of Juglans microcarpa x Juglans regia, 4449 nucleotides long. It is a transcript of the gene named eIF-2-alpha kinase GCN2, with no coding region annotated. Lineage: Eukaryota; Viridiplantae; Streptophyta; Magnoliopsida; Fagales; Juglandaceae. The transcript is spliced from 27 exons. The record is from RefSeq and is a predicted model, not a curated record.